AAAAACCAUGGUUGUCAUAUAAGUAGGACAUUUUUGUAUUUUUGCAAGUAAGCAAGAAAGCUUUUCUUCAUUCAAUUCAACAAGUGAAGUAAUAGGUACAAUUUGAAAGGAGAAAGAUGGAUGGUUCUUAACCCUAGCUAAGGGAAAGGGAGGAGUAGGGGUCCCCCACCACAACCACACCUUGAGGCAAUACAGCAGGAUAGGUCAGGUCACCCACAAUUGGGAAUUCCAAUGAAGAGUUUCAAACCCUGACAAAAGCUAUAACAUGGACAAGAUCCUUCCUGCAGGAUUAAUACACAGAUAAUGUCUCUGGACAAAGUUGGCAUGUGGGUUGUUUCUUAUUGGAAGAGGUGGAACUUACAAAAGGUAUUUUGAGUAGUGAUGAUAAUCAACUCGUUUCUUUCAGAAAGAAUUUUCUUACUGACAUGUCAAGAACAUGCUAAUUCAAAAUUUCUGUUACCAAGACUAGAUUUGGUUCUCUAUGGGAGUUUGUAUUUUGGUGCAGGCUUCUUCCG
RNAcentral lists this long non-coding RNA (515 nucleotides) under Ricinus communis (castor bean). RNAcentral describes it as "long non-coding RNA (RCOM_LNC001489)". The record is from RNAcentral. Lineage: Eukaryota; Viridiplantae; Streptophyta; Magnoliopsida; Malpighiales; Euphorbiaceae.